RNAcentral lists this ribosomal RNA (429 nucleotides) under Gemmatimonadota bacterium. RNAcentral's name for it is "Gemmatimonadetes bacterium partial 16S ribosomal RNA". It matches the Rfam family "Bacterial small subunit ribosomal RNA", at positions 355 to 776 of the family's 1533-position model. The record is from RNAcentral. Lineage: Bacteria; Pseudomonadati; Gemmatimonadota.
UAGGGAAUCUUCGGCAAUGGACGAAAGUCUGACCGAGCAACGCCGCGUGAGUGAAGAAGGUUUUCGGAUCGUAAAACUCUGUUGUUAGAGAAGAACAAGGACGUUAGUAACUGAACGUCCCCUGACGGUAUCUAACCAGAAAGCCACGGCUAACUACGUGCCAGCAGCCGCGGUAAUACGUAGGUGGCAAGCGUUGUCCGGAUUUAUUGGGCGUAAGGCGAGCGCAGGCGGUUUCUUAAGUCUGAUGUGAAAGCCCCCGGCUCAACCGGGGAGGGUCAUUGGAAACUGGGAGACUUGAGUGCAGAAGAGGAGAGUGGAAUUCCAUGUGUAGCGGUGAAAUGCGUAGAUAUAUGGAGGAACACCAGUGGCGAAGGCGGCUCUCUGGUCUGUAACUGACGCUGAGGCUCGAAAGCGUGGGGAGCAAACAGG